GACGAACGCUGGCGGCGUGCUUAACACAUGCAAGUCGAACGGAAAGGCCCUGCUUUUGUGGGGUGCUCGAGUGGCGAACGGGUGAGUAACACGUGAGUAACCUGCCCUUGACUUUGGGAUAACUUCAGGAAACUGGGGCUAAUACCGGAUAGGAGCUCCUGCUGCAUGGGGGGGGUUGGAAAGUUUCGGCGGUUGGGGAUGGACUCGCGGCUUAUCAGCUUGUUGGUGGGGUAGUGGCUUACCAGGGCUUUGAAGGGUAGCCGGCCUGAGAGGGUGACCGGCCACAUUGGGACUGAGGUACGGCCCAGACUCCUACGGGAGGCAGCAGUGGGGAAUAUUGCACAAUGGGCGGAAGCCUGAUGCAGCAACGCCGCGUGCGGGAUGACGGCCUUCGGGUUGUAAACCGCUUUCGCCUGUGACGAAGCGUGAGUGACGGUAAUGGGUAAAGAAGCACCGGCUAACUACGUG
RNAcentral lists this ribosomal RNA (468 nucleotides) under uncultured bacterium. Its description in RNAcentral is "partial 16S ribosomal RNA". It matches the Rfam family "Bacterial small subunit ribosomal RNA", at positions 28 to 507 of the family's 1533-position model. The record is from RNAcentral.